Molecule: long non-coding RNA, 1359 nt
Filed under: Marmota monax (woodchuck)
Lineage: Eukaryota; Metazoa; Chordata; Mammalia; Rodentia; Sciuridae
Source: RNAcentral
GUUUCCCCAGUUCUUUUAAUUUUUUGUUUUAUUUUAUUUUCAUUUUUUGAGGCAGGGUCUGGCUAAGAUGCUGAGGCUGGCCUCAAACUUGCAAUCCUCCUGCUUCAGCCUCCUGAGUCACCAGGAUCACAAGUGUGUACACAGCUGUACCCUGGGCAAUGUUCUAUUUCUUCACCUGCAUGGUGUGUCAUGGGAAUUUUUGUGUUAUGUUUUAUGUUUAAGCACUUUUGUCUGUAUUCUGUUUCCCAAUUUAAACAUGCAUCCAAAGCCUUAAAAAUAAAUAUAUACAAGGGCUGGGGUUGUGACUCAGAGGUAAAGCACUUGCCUAGCGUGUGUGAGGCACUGAGUUCGAUUCUCAGCACCACAUAUAAAUAAAUGAAUAAAAUAAAGCUCCAUCAACAUCUAAAAAAUCAUUUAAAAAUAAAUACAUAUGUACAUGCAUAUAUACACACCUACAUUCAUGUCCCCUGCCUGUUUUCAUUCUGGUAAUCUAAACUACAGAAAUAAUCACUCCGUCUGGCAAACUUUAAUGCACAAAGAUGUUCACUGCAGCAUCAUUAUAAUAGCCCUGUGUUCUCACUAGUAUUAAAUACUGGAAUCCCGCAUGGCGUGUCUGCAAUGUGGAAAGUUAUUUAGCCAUUGGAAAGUCUGCCCAAAGACUACUUCGUGAAAUAGGAAAAAUGCUCACGAUCAACGGGGGAAAUGAGGAGGGAAGGAGUAGAAUAUAAAUCAUAUGUACUAAAUUAUUAAAAUAAAAACUCCCAAUAGACACAUUACCUGUAGACUGUGAUCCUAAUACUGUCAAUGUGUGUACAUACGUGUGUACGUGUGUGUACGUGUGUGUGUGUGUGUGUGUGUGUGUGUGUGAAUAGCAAGAGCACUCACGUUAGGGAAUGGAAUUGUAGGAUCUGUUUUCCUUAUACACUUUUUUCUUGCUGGUGCUGUUUGUGCAGUGCUGGGAAUUGAACCCAGGGCUGCUCGACUGCUAAGCCACAUCCCCAGCCCCUGUUAUUUUUCAUGUUGAGACAGAGCUUCACUAAGUGGCUUAGGGCCUCACUAAAUUUCUGAGUCUGGCCUCAAACCUGGGAUGCUCCUGCCUCAGCCUCUGGAGCCGCUGGGACUACAGGAGUGAGCUCCGUGCCCGGCUGCUUGGCUUGGCUGUGCGGCUUCCCCCUCUCGACGUGGACAGCAGAUGCACCAGGCAGAGGGCCACCCUGCUGGGCUGGCAGGCAGCAUGGCCCCUGGCCUGUGGCUUCUCCCUCCUUCCCCUCUUACUCCUGCCUCCCUGGCCCGCCCCACUCCUCUGCUCCCUUCUCCCCACAGACACCCACGCGGGGAUAUUUCCAGAGUGUUCUCUCG